This 253-nucleotide ribosomal RNA is filed under the name uncultured bacterium. Its description in RNAcentral is "partial 16S ribosomal RNA". It matches the Rfam family "Bacterial small subunit ribosomal RNA", at positions 524 to 776 of the family's 1533-position model. The record is from RNAcentral.
UACGUAGGGGGCAAGCGUUGUCCGGAAUCAUUGGGCGUAAAGCGCGUGUAGGCGGCUCGAUAAGUCUGCUGUGAAAGUUCAGGGCUCAACCCUGAAAUGCCGGUGGAAACUGUCGGGCUAGAGUCCGGGAGAGGCGAGUGGAAUUCCUGGUGUAGCGGUGAAAUGCGCAGAUAUCAGGAGGAACACCAAUGGCGAAGGCAGCUCGCUGGGCCGGUACUGACGCUGAGACGCGAAAGCGUGGGGAGCAAACAGG